This 326-nucleotide ribosomal RNA is filed under the name uncultured eukaryote. Its description in RNAcentral is "partial 18S ribosomal RNA". It matches the Rfam family "Eukaryotic small subunit ribosomal RNA", at positions 1470 to 1796 of the family's 1831-position model. The record is from RNAcentral.
CCCUUAGAUGUUCUGGGCCGCACGCGCGCUACACUGACGAAUGCAACGAGCUUAUAACCUUGGCCGAAAGGUCUGGGUAAUCUCCAAAUUUCGUCGUGAUGGGGAUAGAUUAUUGCAAUUAUUAAUCUUCAACGAGGAAUGCCUAGUAAGCGCAAGUCAUCAGCUUGCGUUGAUUACGUCCCUGCCCUUUGUACACACCGCCCGUCGCUCCUACCGAUUGAAUGGUCCGGUGAAGCGUUCGGACCGUGCCUUUGGACGGUUCGCCGUCUGUUGGCUGCGGGAAGUUCGUUAAACCUUAUCAUUUAGAGGAAGGAGAAGUCGUAACA